Molecule: non-coding RNA, 126 nt
Organism: Hordeum vulgare subsp. vulgare (domesticated barley)
Lineage: Eukaryota; Viridiplantae; Streptophyta; Magnoliopsida; Poales; Poaceae
Source: Rfam
CUUAUACUACCUUCGUCCGGAAAUACUUGUCCUCUAGAGAUGAAUGUAUCUAAACUUAUUUUAAUUGUAGACACAUUCAUUAUAUGUAUUUUUAGGACAAGUAUUUCCGGAUGGAGGUAUUAUUUA